CAGCAGCCGCGGGAAUACGAAGGGUGCAAGCGUUAAUCGGAAUUACUGGGCGUAAAGCGUGCGUAGGCGGUGAGUUAAGUCUGCUGUGAAAUCCCCGGGCUCAACCUGGGAAUGGCAGUGGAUACUGGCUCGCUAGAGUGUGUCAGAGGAUGGUGGAAUUCCCGGUGUAGCGGUGAAAUGCGUGGAGAUCGGAAGGAACAUCUGUGGCGAAGGCGACUAUCUGGGCCAACACUGACACUGAGGCACGAAAGCGUGGGGAGCAAACAGGAUUAGAUACCCCCGUAGUCCCUGUCUCUUAUAC
Molecule: ribosomal RNA, 301 nt
Filed under: uncultured bacterium
Lineage: Bacteria
Description: partial 16S ribosomal RNA
Rfam family: Bacterial small subunit ribosomal RNA
Source: RNAcentral